Molecule: long non-coding RNA, 413 nt
Filed under: Homo sapiens (human)
Lineage: Eukaryota; Metazoa; Chordata; Mammalia; Primates; Hominidae
Description: non-protein coding lnc-SMN1-2:1
Source: RNAcentral
AUCUUGCUCUGUUCUCUUUGACCUUCCUGCUCUUCCCUUUGCAGGUGCUCUUUUUGAAGGUGUCUCAAAGUUACCACCGCUGCUGUAACGAGGCUGCCUGAAGUCAUCCACAGGCGAAGUUAAUGGAAGCUCCUGAACCACUUCAGGAACCCUAAUAAAAACAGGCAUCAUUGUUCAGUACACUACAGCCCUUUGCCAGUGCACUGUAAUCACAGAGCACAGCCAUAAUAAACACCAGCAGACAUCUGCACGCAGGUGCACUCACGCGAGGACUUCAGAUGUUCAACACUGAGCAGAUGCCUCGUUUUCUGCAUUCAAUUUGACAGCAGUUCAGAGUCCUCUAAUACACACAAGUAGUAGGUUCCAAUUUAAAGGGGAGUAGCCAUUUUUAUACCUUCUAAGUACAAUGGAUC